RNAcentral lists this ribosomal RNA (511 nucleotides) under uncultured bacterium. RNAcentral's name for it is "partial 16S ribosomal RNA". It matches the Rfam family "Bacterial small subunit ribosomal RNA", at positions 28 to 523 of the family's 1533-position model. The record is from RNAcentral.
GACGAACGCUGGCGGCGUGCUUAACACAUGCAAGUCGAACGAGAAAGCACUUCGGUGGGAGUACAGUGGCGAACGGGUGAGUAACACGUGGGCAACCUGCCCUGGAGAGCGGGACAACCCGAGGAAACUCGGGCUAAUACCGCAUGAUGCGUCCUGGCGUAAGUCAGGCCGCCAAAUGGUAGCUCUUCGGAGCCUCCGCUCUGGGAUGGGCCCGCGCCGGAUUAGCUAGUUGGUUGGGGUAACGGCCCACCAAGGCGACGAUCCGUAGCUGGUCUGAGAGGACGAUCAGCCACACUGGGACUGAGACACGGCCCAGACUCCUACGGGAGGCAGCAGUGGGGAAUCUUGCGCAAUGGGCGAAAGCCUGACGCAGCAACGCCGCGUGAGGGAAGAAGGCCUUCGGGUUGUAAACCUCUUUCAGGAGGGACGAAGCUUCCGGGGUUAAUAGCCUACGGGGUGACGGUACCUCCAGAAGAAGCCCCGGCUAACCACGUGCCAGCCGCCGCCGUAA